AUUGAACGCUGGCGGCAGGCCUAACACAUGCAAGUCGAGCGGACGAAGGGAGCUUGUUCCUGGAUUCAGUGGCGGACGGGCGAGUAAGGCCUAGGAAGCUGCCUGGCAGUGGGGGAUAACGUCCGGAAACGGGCGCGAAUCUAGUACGCGGUCUUCUGUUUGAAAAAAAGAAACAAAAGUAAAAGACGGUUUUGCUUUCACUUAUAAAUGGUUCGGCGCUGCAUUGCCUAGUUGGAAAGGAAAGGGCUUACCAAGGAAACGAUGCAAAGCCGACCUUAGAGGGUGAUCGGCCACACUGGAACUGAGACACGGGCCAGACUACUACGGGAGGCAGCAGUAGGGAAUCUUCCGCAAUGGGCGAAAGCCUGACGGAGCAACGCCGCGUGAGUGAUGAAGGUCUUCGGAUCGUAAAACUCUGUUAUUAGGGAAGAACAUAUGUGUAAGUAACUGUGCACAUAUUGACGGUACCUAAUCAGAAAGCCACGGCUAACUACGUG
This 497-nucleotide ribosomal RNA is filed under the name uncultured bacterium. Its description in RNAcentral is "partial 16S ribosomal RNA". It matches the Rfam family "Bacterial small subunit ribosomal RNA", at positions 30 to 507 of the family's 1533-position model. The record is from RNAcentral.